CACAAACGACGACCUCCGCUGCAGCAACUUGCUGACCGACACGCGGGCAUCAACGACUCCGCCGACGCCGCCACCACACCUCCCCCUCUCCCCUCGCACAAACAGUUCUUUCGCUGUAUACACCACCUGAACCGGGAGAGAGUCGCCCUAGGAGCGUACAGGACGUCUCCCACUAGCUUCUAGUGUGAGGGACGGAUCGUUGGGCAUCUCCUCAUACAUCUGAGAUCUUUUUUUUCUCGGGUGUUGUCGGCCGCUUUUAGUUGGUGGUGGUGCGGCGCGACUCCCUCGGUCGCUAGACUCCAAAGCGGCGCGCUAUUUCAGUUCUAGCGCUGUUUUGGGGUGCAACCUGCACAAGUGUACGCCUAAGAUGCUAGUAGUCGAUGGUUGUACAUGGAUAGCUAGUCCACUACAGUAGAAGAAGCACGAAGAGGUCCUUUGGUACCCCCCCUCCCCCCCUGCCGCAGAGAACGACGCUCAGAUAUCUGCACACCCGAAGACGCACUUUGCUCACACGCGGAAUACCGAUCGUUGGGCGAGAGGGGGGGGGUGUUCUGCAUGCGCGUGUGUGCACGUUGGUGUAUCGCUGAUCGUCUCGCUGCCGCUCUUGGGUACGUGAGAAAAACGGAGAGGUAGGGUCGACGACUGACCGCCUUGCCGUGCGGUGGUAUCAACCCUUUCCUACUGCUGCAGCCGAUAAUCGUAAUGGAGGGAAGGCCCCAUUACGAGGUCCUGUGCAUUGCCAACUUCAGCUCUGCCGAGGAGGUGCGCCUUGCAUACAAGUCGCUCGUCCUCAAGUACCACCCCGACAAGAACUUGGGCGACCCAACAGCGGCGGAGCGCUUCCGCGCAGUGUGCCGCGCUUACGAAGUGCUUUCGAAUGAAGAAACGAAACGCAAGUACGACCUCGCACUGCGCGCUGCCCUAUUCGAGUAUGGCCCGCGCGCUAGUGGCAAAACCGGCGGCCAUGGAGGUGCCAAUCCGUACUCCAUGAAGGCCCCCUCUAUGUCGGAUAUUUACAGAGAACUGUACCAGCGACAAGCCGCGCGGGCUAGCACACGCAACCGCACCUCGUCGGCGCCGCCGCAAAGUGGCAAGGCAUCUACCUCGCAGUACACCAAGGCGCAGCAGGAGCACUUUCGCAAGCGAGAGAGGGAGCGGCAACAGGAGCUGCGCCGUCAGAGGGAGAGGGAGAGGAAGGAGCAGCGCGAUCGAGAGCGGGAGGCGCUGCGCAGGGAGCAAGAGCGGCAAGAAGAGCUGCUUCAGCAGCGGUGGCGCCUGCAGCAGCAGCAACAGAAGGUGUACCCCACGCGCGGAUCAACACGCAUCACAAGCACAGCUGGUGUUGCAUCACUGUCGACUGGCACAACUAGCGACCCCGCAGCCCACAUCGACGACGUUAACGGCGUCUCGCCUCGCAUGCGACGUGGAUCCCCACGCGCGACGACGGAGGGGGUGCGUAGCGGCAUUGAAAGCCAUGCGCCGAACACGGUGCUCCUUGGCACGCCGGCGCGGCUGACAAUGUUGGCCCGCAAUGGCGUCGCUACCACACCGCGAACGUUCCGGGCGUACUCGCCAUUAUCUCUGUCGCCACGGCCGGCCGCCAAGCCUCGUUGUGCCGAGGCCGGCGCGCCUGGUGAGCCGCCGUCGUCAUCCGCGUGGCGGGAGGAGGAGACAAUGGACGCGGAGGCGGUGGAGGGUGGGCUGUCGACAGGCUGGUACACGCCCCUCAACGCACUCGUGAACAGCGGCGACCUGGAGGAGGGAGCGGCCCACUACAGCAGCUGCGCCGGCUCACCCGUUGGUGCUGAGGAGCAGGCGAUGGCGCAGUCGGCGGGCGUAAAUCGGGCCUUCCGCACGGGGAGUGCACCGCUUUUGCGACCUGCGUCUGGCGUUGCACGCGCCAGUGGCGUAGAUGCACGGUCGGCGGCGUCUGCUCAGCCGAGCACCCGCAACACGCACACCACGUCUGAGGACUGUAGCGAAGAUGGCACUGCGGCUGGCUGCGGAGACGACGGUCACCGCACGCCGUCCUCGUACCGUCCGGCGACGCGCAUCACGACGGUGAACCGAGUCGCGAUCCCGUCCGCGUCUUCCACGGCCACAACACCACGCCACUGGGGAACACCUCGCAGCUUCACGAACUUUCACGCAGCAGCGGCAGCGUCACCGGUUUCCUUGGCCGCGUCGCCGCGGGGCCAGCCGAUCACUCCGCGUUGUAGCAGCAGUGCGCAGAUGACGGCAAACGGCCGCAGCCAUAGCUCGUCUGCCGGAGCAGCAUCGACUGAGGCCAGGGCAAGCCAAUCCUUGCAUAAGAGCAGCAGCAUCAACGGCGCCACCAGCCGCAGCGACCCCGUGCGCGCCUCCUUCCUCCACCGAGUGCGCCCCAUGCCGAGUCUAGCGGACAAGGACAAGGAGGUGCUAGACAAGAAGCGGCGAGAGCGACUGGCGAAGGAGAAGGAGAGGCAGCGAUCAGUUCGACUCGCUGAGGAGGAGCGCCAGUUUCGUCGACUCGCUCGCGCGGCAAAGCAUCAGCGCGAGAACGCUGCCGCCAUCUCUGCUGCCGCGGCAGCUGCGAAGGCGGAGGUAGAGGAGCCGCUGUCCUUUGAGAAAGAGCUGGAGUACCUCGUGCAUGACGAGGCGAGUGAGCGGGAGCAGCUGAUCGAGCGAGAGGAACAGCUCGCGUGGCGCCGCCUACAUCGCCAACAAGCGAAAGUGAUUCAGGCUGUCUUGGUGCGACGCCGCCUCGCCGCGCUCACGACGGAGGAGAUGGCGUGGCGCAACGGUUUGCUGCAAGUGUGCUGGGUAGAGCGCGACCGCUCCUUCUUGUGCUUCUACGAGCGACUCGACCGCCUGUACCUCGAGGGCCGUGAGGGGCGUGAUAGGCGUCAGCUGGUUGGCCGCGAGGCAGCUGACAGAUACCAUGUACGUCGGGCCUCACAGCGGCGCUCCUCCAUGGCAACUGAGGAGGCGUCGCAGCGGCGCCAGCUCUCCGGUAGCGUCGUGCAGGCGGUUCUUGGCCAGGGCGUGCCAGCCACAGAGGCGGUGGAUUGCGCGCCCUCCCCCGCCGCGGAGGCGAAAGCUCGCCGCAGCCCUUUCCCCAGCGUUUACGAUGAUGCUGCUCAGCUCGAGCAUCGGUGUGAUGCCGGCGUGAGGCUCGCGGGGAACCAACCGUGGCACCAGCAACAGUCGGAAUACCAGCAGCAGCACCCGGCCGAGUGGCUGCCCCCCGCGGCACUCGCUGCUCAGACCACUAGCGCACUGGACGCGAAGAGAGGCCGCGCCAGGAGCGCUGUCAGCACCACCGCCGUGACGGAUAUCUCUACGACUGGGCAUCUGGAAUCUUUCCUUUCGGCGACCGGCACGCUGGAGGCGGCGCCCGCGAUGGCGGACAGGCUGUCGGGCGGUAGUGCCUUUGCAAGGGCAUCUGCGCAAGCGAGCCCGUACGCAUCCCCCAAGAAACGCAGCUCGUUGGACUCGUCGAGCAGCACAGAUUGCCCUGCCGUCGCCGUCACCACCUCCGCCAAUGGCGAGACAAAGAUGUUACUGGCUGGUGCGGAGCGGCGCCUACUGAUGCUCGUCAGCGACGAGUCUCGCCAACGCAGUCUGCUUGUGAAGCAGCAGCAACAAGAGGAGAUGGCGCUGCGUCGUCGGCGCGCCAUGGCCCUACAUUGUGUCUUUGCCAAGGAGAAGGAGAAUGCUGUCAAGCACGCGCAGCGUUGUGCGCUGGUGGAGAUAACCGCGCUCAGGGCGCAGCUGCGCACGUUGCAGCGGCAAACGCGACGCUCCUCGUCUCCACGCAGUAUGGAGGGCGGUUUCUCUGCCGCUGCCGCCAGCGCCGCUUCCGGUUCCCCUGCCAAUUCCGUAUCGUGGAAGAUGGAGUCCUCGGCAGUGUCGCGCCACGGCUCGCCACUGCCUAUGCUGCCUCGGCCCACCUCCGAAGCCGCCGCCGCAGCGUGUGCAUCAUCGCCCGACACGGCGCGUGCGCUUUCGGUUGCGAGUAUCCUCACAGCCGCAGCGGCGCUGAGCGGCUGGACGGCAUUGCCGGACUCAGAUGGGGAGGAGGAUUAGGUACUACAGGAGGUCGGUGCAGUUAGCUUCUGCACGUAUGACGGCAACGCGAAGAAUGCCUUCUCUGAGCUGCUCCCUUCCGAUCGCUUUUUUCUUUUUUUUUUCAAAAUCUGUAUUUCGGCGGCACCACAGCCCCAUCUUUCCGCCCACACACCCACACCUCGACACAAAUAUUUGGAUACCGCAGACGUGAAGCGUUGUCCCUUGCUUGGACCUUCUUCACACCCUCUUUCCUGCCUGGCGUUCUUGUUCCCUCUCCUUCACUCUCUCUCCCCCUUUUUGUUUCUUGUUCUCUCUUAUGUACUGUGAACACGUUCUCUUUGUUGUCUUCUUCGCUUGUCAGUUUUAGAGUUUAUUGUGAGCCGCCUCGACUUCUUUCCUUGGGCGGUUGUGUGUGUGUGUGUACCUCUCUCCUUCCCUCUCCCUCUUCUCGCUCCCUCGUCGUGCGUGCCGUGUGUCGUAUACGCACGAGCGUGCCUCGGGACAGAGUGUUCUCAUGCAUGCGUGCGCUCGUGUGCAUGUGUGUAUGUGUGUGUCGGCCGACGCGUGUGACGCACUCUCUCGCCACCGUCAAUUUUUUUUUUUCCGUCGACCCUUUUCCUCUCUGUCUCUUGAGGUCUCCGUCCUCCCUCCUGUCACCCGUUGCCUCUGCCAGAUGCUUCUCGUCCUCUGUCGGUUGCCCUUCCGCCGCCCGCUUCUCUCCUUCGUCGGCCCUCACUCACCAAAUGCCGCAUGUAGGCGUUCAGUCGUGUUUGUUCGCUGGCGCACAGCUCCUCUCUGACGGACUGCCGCCUCUCGUGCGUCUCUCCCCCUCUCUUUGCGUGUGUGUGCUGCGCUGCCACGCCAGCAGGACGAAACAGGAGAACACGUACUCGAAGGCGCCCGCGACACGCAUGCACUUCAGCCAGAUAUGAUGGGGGAGAAGGGAGAGGGCAGACGGGCGCUGAAUGCACCUGCAAAUCAUUAGGUGCUCCCUCUCGCGUGUGCUGCGAACGGGUGGGGUCAGGGGGAACAAAGACCUACACCCUUGCUAUGCUCGACUGGUGCAGCAUUCCACUUUUCAGAGACUGUGUGUGGGUGAUCCUGUGCGUUUGUAUAAAAAAGGGAAGGGAGCGCGAGGGCGAGCACAUUUUUCCUUAAUUUUUACCUUCAUGAUACCGGCCGCCUCAUCGUGAUGUCAUGAUCCAGUGCCCACUCGUUGUGAUAAUGCCGAGCAGCCUGCAGCCUGCCCUCUGGCGCGGCUGCGGGCUCUCUGGCGCCGGUGGACAGGGCUUGGCUGGCGCUGUGCCGAAGAGACGUAUAGCCAUGCUCACGCCUGGACCAGCCCACUACGAGUCCUGCCCGCGUAUUCAGCACGUACAUGCAUCCACCAUCUCUUCUCCUGCUGUUACUGCGCUGCGGUGAUGUCGUGCGUAGUUCUGGGCCUCGGCUGCUGUGUAUGCGCAGUAGAAUAGCAGUGGGCUGGGCGACGCCGAAGGGCGUCGGUGGACCCCGCUCCCUGUCAUUGCCGCCGUGCGACACAGCGGUGGGUGGGCGGCGGUUGCGUGUGUGCGUCUAUGUGUUGACCUCUUUGCCAUGGAAUAUGGACGCUUUUGUAUUG
RNAcentral lists this unclassified non-coding RNA (5668 nucleotides) under Leishmania donovani. RNAcentral describes it as "gene:LdHU3.18.1800(CDS-product:chaperone_DNAJ_pro tein_putative)". Lineage: Eukaryota; Euglenozoa; Kinetoplastea; Trypanosomatida; Trypanosomatidae. The record is from RNAcentral.